AGAGUUUGAUCCUGGCUCAGGAUGAACGCUAGCGGUGUGCCUGAGAUAUGCAAGUCGAGCGUCUUUUUAUCCGCAAGAGUGAAAGGUAGCGGCGGACGGCUUAGUAACGCGUAGGAAUCUCCCCUCAAGUAGAGAAUAGCCC
Molecule: ribosomal RNA, 142 nt
Filed under: uncultured bacterium
Lineage: Bacteria
Description: partial 16S ribosomal RNA
Rfam family: Bacterial small subunit ribosomal RNA
Source: RNAcentral